Molecule: long non-coding RNA, 539 nt
Filed under: Sus scrofa (pig)
Lineage: Eukaryota; Metazoa; Chordata; Mammalia; Artiodactyla; Suidae
Description: lncRNA (ENSSSCG00070021397.1)
Source: RNAcentral
GGAGAGAACGGGUAUCUUCUUGAUCGCAUUAAAAUGAACAUUAAUGGAAAGAACAGUUAGACUAUCACACCAGCCUGCAAGGAUUUGUACUGGCACACAUUCCCACGGCAGUGAGAUGGCAGCUCAAAGUCUGCCCGUGCCUUAGGGACAACAGUUGUAGGACACUGACUCAGCACAUAGGAUGUCGUGAGGUCAGUCCCCGAUAUCCUCUGAAUUAACGGUGCUUGCAAAACAACAAAAGAUCAAGGCUAACAGACCAAAACACUAAUCACUGGCAUCGACCUUACGGGACAUGCAUAGGCAGCUGGACUGAAAGAUCAUUUGCUGUCUACAUGUGUUUUUAAUCUCCAGAGAUUCCAUCACUCCCAACCGGCUGAAACAAGUUGAGAAAACCAUGCACACUAGUGAGAGUGGAUGUCCCAAGCACAAAGAGAACAUGGAAAGUAUGUUGAAUCCAGAUGAUCCAACCCUCUGUUCUCCAGUCCUGCUGGCACACCUAGAGGCCAAUUCAGGGUUUGCACUUUCUUAAUGGUAAAAGC